RNAcentral lists this non-coding RNA (773 nucleotides) under Erionota torus (palm redeye). Lineage: Eukaryota; Metazoa; Arthropoda; Insecta; Lepidoptera; Hesperiidae. The record is from RNAcentral.
UAUAAAUUUAUGAUUUUUAAGAUUUAUUUUAAAUUUAUUUUACAUGUAAAUUUUAGUAUUAAUUUUUAAUUAUUUUAAUAAUAUAAUUAAUAAAGCAGUAAUUAAUAUUAAAAAUUUAAGAAAUUAAGAUUUAGUAAUAUUUAAAUUAAUAACAAAUUUUGUGCCAGCAGUUGCGGUUACACAAAAAUUAAAAUAAAUUUUUUUAGUUAUAAUAAGUAAAAUAAAUUAAUUUUAUAAAUUAAAUUUUAAAUUAUUAAGUGAAAUUUUAAUUUAAUUAAAAUUUAUAAUUAAAUUAUGAUUUAAUAAAUUUAUUAAGAAACUAGGAUUAGAUACCCUAUUAUUAAAAAUUUAAAUUAUAAUACUAAAAUAGUAAAUAAAAUAUUAUUGAAACUUAAAUAAUUUGGCGGUAUUUUAGUUCAUUUAGAGGAAUCUGUUUAUAAUUGAUAAUCCACGAAUUAAUUUACUUAAUUUAAUAUUUUGUAUAUCGUUGUUAAAAAAAUAUUUUAAAAUAAGAAUAAUAUUUUAAUUUUUUAAAAAUAAGUUAGUUCAGAUCAAGAUGCAGAUUAUAAUUAAGAAUAUAAUGGAUUACAAUAAAUUUAUUUAAAUGGAUAUUAUUUUGGAAUAAUUAAUUAAAAGUGGAUUUAAAUGUAAUUUUAUAAAUUUUAAUAUAAUGAUUAAGAGUUAAAAUAUGUACAUAUUGCCCGUCGCUUUCAUUUAAAAAUUGGAAUAAGUCGUAACAAAGUAGAGGUACUGGAAAGUGUUUCUAGAAAGAC